This 102-nucleotide Y RNA is filed under the name Propithecus coquereli (Coquerel's sifaka). RNAcentral's name for it is "Y RNA (ENSPCOG00000009523.1)". It matches the Rfam family "Y RNA". Rfam says of the family: Y RNAs are components of the Ro ribonucleoprotein particle (Ro RNP), in association with Ro60 and La proteins. Lineage: Eukaryota; Metazoa; Chordata; Mammalia; Primates; Indriidae. The record is from Rfam by way of RNAcentral.
GGCUGGUCUGAGUGCAGUGGUGUUUACAACUAAUUCAUCACAGCCAGUUACAGAUUCCUUUGUUCCUUCUCGGCUCCCACUGCUUCACUUGACUAGCUUUAA